Molecule: ribosomal RNA, 492 nt
Filed under: uncultured bacterium
Lineage: Bacteria
Description: partial 16S ribosomal RNA
Rfam family: Bacterial small subunit ribosomal RNA
Source: RNAcentral
AGUGAACGCUGGCGGUAGGCCUAACACAUGCAAGUCGAACGGCAGCACAGUAAGAGCUUGCUCUUACGGGUGGCGAGUGGCGGACGGGUGAGGAAUACAUCGGAAUCUACUUUUUCGUGGGGGAUAACGUAGGGAAAAUUACGCUAAUACCGCAUACGACCUACGGGUGAAAGCAGGGGAUCUUCGGACCUUGCGCGAUUGAAUGAGCCGAUGUCGGAUUAGCUAGUUGGCGGGGUAAAGGCCCACCAAGGCGACGAUCCGUAGCUGGUCUGAGAGGAUGAUCAGCCACACUGGAACUGAGACACGGUCCAGACUCCUACGGGAGGCAGCAGUGGGGAAUAUUGGACAAAGGGCGCAAGCCUGAUCCAGCCAUACCGCGUGGGUGAAGAAGGCCUUCGGGUUGUAAAGCCCUUUUGUUGGGAAAGAAAAGCAGCAGGUUAAUACCCCGCUGUUCUGACGGUACCCAAAGAAUAAGCACCGGCUAACUUCGUG